GUUCCCCCGCCUGGGGAGUACGGCCGCAAGGCUAAAACUCAAAGGAAWUUGACGGGGGCCCGCACAAGCGGCGGAGCAUGCGGAUUAAUUCGAUGCAACGCGAAGAACCUUACCAAGGCUUGACAUAUACGAGAACGGGCUAGAAAUAGUCAACUCUUUGGACACUCGUAAACAGGUGGUGCAUGGUUGUCGUCAGCUCGUGUCGUGAGAUGUUGGGUUAAGUCCCGCAACGAGCGCAACCCUCGUUCUAUGUUGCCAGCACGUAAUGGUGGGAACUCAUAGGAGACUGCCGGGGUCAACUCGGAGGAAGGUGGGGAUGACGUCAAAUCAUCAUGCCCCUUAUGUCUUGGGCUUCACGCAUGCUACAAUGGCCGGUACAAAGGGCUGCAAUACCGUAAGGUGGAGCGAAUCCCAAAAAGCCGGUCUCAGUUCGGAUUGAGGUCUGCAACUCGACCUCAUGAAGUCGGAGUCGCUAGUAAUCGCAGAUCAGCAACGCUGSGGUGAAUACGUUCCCGGGCCUUGUACACACCGCC
This 533-nucleotide ribosomal RNA is filed under the name Agreia pratensis. Its description in RNAcentral is "bacterial SSU rRNA". The record is from RNAcentral. Lineage: Bacteria; Bacillati; Actinomycetota; Actinomycetes; Micrococcales; Microbacteriaceae.